Molecule: transfer RNA, 66 nt
Filed under: Sphenacris crassicornis
Lineage: Eukaryota; Metazoa; Arthropoda; Insecta; Orthoptera; Pyrgomorphidae
Description: tRNA-Ala
Rfam family: tRNA
About the family: Transfer RNA (tRNA) molecules are approximately 80 nucleotides in length. Their secondary structure includes four short double-helical elements and three loops (D, anti-codon, and T loops).
Source: RNAcentral
AGGGAUAUAGUUAAGUAUAACAUUUGGUUUGCAUCCGAAAAGUAUUGAAUAAUUCAAUUAUCCUUA